GCAGCAGGGGAGAGAGGCGCCGCUGGCAGCUUGGAGGUACUGCAGUGCAGAGCAAUGACAAGCAGCUCAGCCGGUCGGGCCGCUUGUCAUUGCUCGCUGGUGGGAGCAGGGCCGGAUUAACAAUGGGGCGGAUGGAGCUGCAGCUCCAGGCCGCCCCAUCAAAAUAGGCCCACAGCAUCUGCUGCAUUGCGCUGCUGUACACAGGAAUGUUUUUCUUUCCUGUUACAGCAGCCUAAGGCCCCGCCCACUGAAACAGCAAACCCCUUUCCCCUGCUUUUCUUGCCCGGGGUUGAAAAGACGGACUUAAUAAUUGUGCUAAUAGCGGCACAGUGGAAGGCUUCACAAGCCCUCCCUGCGCCGCACAGUAUCUGAAUCUCCAGCGCGGCAGCAUCGUGACGGCGUUGCAUCAUCUCCUCCUCCUCCUCCCCCCCCCCGCAUCCUGUCACAUCCAGGGCCCCGUCGGGACAUCGCAUCCCGCCGUGAAAUGGUAACUACGUCCGCGCCGCCGCCCCAUUACCGCUUGAAUAACUGCUGUGCAAGUGUGCACUGUAUGCAGCAGCCAACCCAGCUCUGCUCCGUGAAGGCGGCCCUGACACUUGCUGUGACUGGGCUACCCAGCAGCUACUGAUCACAGGUGACGGGCUGCAGCCGCUGCUGCUCAGAGAAGGGAUGUCAGUGUCCUGCAGUGCCUCUGGAAAAGUUAUGCAUUGUAGAUACCAGUGGAAAGCACAACAUUUCUCAAUGACAAGCCACAGUGCAGUGCCCAGUCCUCUGCUCAGGCUGUAAAGAUGGGGUACAUGACCGUGGCGUUGAUGUCCAAGGAUUCCUUUUAGCUGGCCCCUUCCAUGGUACUGGUUGCUUUUUUCGUUGUUCCCUCGAUCAGCCCUUGGCUCCUCUUGCUGGGAUUUAGCACACAAUGCAAUGACACGUGAAGAGGAUCAAUGAGUGCAAAGGACCAGGAUAAAGAUGAUAGAGUGGAAAGCAAGAGGACAGAAGGAUGAAGGAAUGCAAUGUCUUAGUAAGUGGAUAAAGAAGCAUGAAAGAUG
Pseudophryne corroboree (corroboree frog) is the source of this 1046-nucleotide long non-coding RNA. RefSeq lists it as uncharacterized. Lineage: Eukaryota; Metazoa; Chordata; Amphibia; Anura; Myobatrachidae. The transcript is spliced from 4 exons. The record is from RefSeq and is a predicted model, not a curated record.